Molecule: ribosomal RNA, 405 nt
Filed under: uncultured bacterium
Lineage: Bacteria
Description: bacterial SSU rRNA
Rfam family: Bacterial small subunit ribosomal RNA
Source: RNAcentral
UCGAGAAUAUUUCGCAAUGGGCGCAAGCCUGACGAAGCGACGCCGCGUGAGGGAUGAAGGUCUUCGGAUUGUAAACCUCUGUCACAGGGGAAGAAAAAAAUGACAGUACCCUGGGAGGAAGCCACGACUAACUACGUGCCAGCAGUCGCGGUAAUACGUAGGUGGCAAGCGUUGUUCGGAUUCACUGGGUGUAAAGGGUCCGUAGGAGGUUUAGUGUGUCUGAUGUGAAAUCCCAAGGCUCAACUUUGGAACUGCAUUGGAAACUACUAAACUAGAGUAUCGCAGAGGAAAGUGGAAUUCCCGGUGUAGCGGUGGAAUGCGUAGAUAUCGGGAGGAACACCAAAGGCGAAGGCAGCUUUCUGGGCGAUUACUGACUCUGAGGGACGAAAGCGUGGGGAGCAAACA